Molecule: long non-coding RNA, 1924 nt
Organism: Anguilla rostrata (American eel)
Lineage: Eukaryota; Metazoa; Chordata; Actinopteri; Anguilliformes; Anguillidae
Exons: 2
Source: RefSeq, a predicted model, not a curated record
UUGACAGGUGAUUGACCUGGAAGUAGAAUGGCAAGGUCAGCAUGCAUCCACCAUGGAUUUUAUGGCAUCCACACACCAGCAAGCAGGAUUUGUUUGUGCAAGCCCAACAUGAUGCAUCCCUGUAUUUCCAGCCAAGCAGGCAAAACAAGAAACGGCAUCUCCUCGCAGAACCUCUGUCAGUGGCAGUAAAUCUGCCGAGCUGCCCGGCGAGAUUAAAAAUGAAAAAAGGGGGGAAAAAACAGCAGCUUGGACACACUGUGCACCCUCAGCAUUAAAUCCAGCCAGAGGCGCACUCCUCCUCCGCCUCUACAAAACUCCAGCUGGACUCCUCAAAGCGACGUCCCAUGAGAGGCCCUCAUUUACGGAACUUUAGGAUGUGGCAGCAAAAUUGAGCGAAUCCUUUGGUACAUUGCUUUAACCUGAAGGACCUUUUAUUUUUGUUAAGAGAGCCAUUUAAGAGAAAAAAACCCUUAUGCUGAAAGAAUGAAAUCUAUGAGAAAUGGCUUACUUUGCCAACCACACAGGGGGUUGGUGCCCAGUUUUUGUAUUCCUGCAGGUUUGGAAGUAAGCUUGGAACAUCUAGAGCAAAAACAAAAUGUAGCGCCACUGCUUUACACUUGUGCGCUCAUUAAGGGAAAUCGGUGGCCAUGUGCGGAAUGCAAAUGAUGUCGCCAUCUUGCAGGCACCUGAAGAUGGCUGCUUUCUCACCCUCAGCCCUGCGUGACCAGUAGGGCUCAUGGGAAAUGUAAAACGGACCUUCCGUUCGAAGACCCCCCGCUGUACGGCUCAGGUACGCCGUGUUCUCAUUCUUUUAGCGUGCAGGGGCCUAAGCAGCGGGGUGCCUGACAAGCGAGGUAGCACCGCGUCCGGCGGAGGAACGCUAACCUGAAUCUGUGUUGUGAACGAAAGGGCUGCAGCAAUUAACAGCGUUAUCUCCGGCAGACAAAGCAGCACCUGGUACUUCAAUUGCGGCCACUGUGCACUUGCCGGGUUGUGGUGGCGCAAGCUCUUACUCAAAUGUUGCAGUAAAGGGAACUUCAGAGUCAUCCGGAAGCUGGCUGAACAGCCCUUUUGUCACCAAAGAAAAACGUGGGAUUUAAAGAAGUCCCUGCAAAUCAAGUUAACUCCAUCAGCGGUACAGAAAUAGAAGAAAAUUUGGUUUUGUUUGAUUUGGAAUAACAAAUUAGUUAUUUGUCAAUUUAUGUAGAAGAUGGCUUUAUUCAGCAUAACAUACAAAUCUAACAGAUUACAGAUCAUACGUUUAUGUAGUUAAAUAUCUUCUUAAGCAAGUUAGGUCAAGUACCUUUUGCACUGGAAAUGUAGAAAUGACAUCUAAACCUGCUCAAACUUGUUGCAUGUCUAAUCUAACUACCAUUGGGUCUAUAUUCCUGUCCCUUCAAGUGAGAAUUUUCAAACCAGAGUUUUUUUUUUCCCCCUUUCAUUACCUGCACAUUUAUUUAGUUAAUUUCAGCCAUGCUCAUGCCCUGAAUCAGUCCAAUGGAUCAGAAGAUUGAUGCCCUACAGAGGAGCAAUUGUGUCCAUGCCAAAAUCAAUACUGCCAAUCAUAUACUUUUCAUAUGAUAAAUAGCUGUCCCAGACCAUAGCAUAGCGAGGCGUGCGGUAAAUACCACCGCCAUCGAUUUUAAAAAGAAUAAGAUCGAAGGGUGGAGAAAAGCAUUAGGCGCAAAUUCCUUCAUCAGUAUUCUAACGGUCGCACUGCCACUGUGUACUUUUGGCCCCUUUCAGACUGUCUGCCCCCCCCCCCCCAUCCCUACAAUCAUUCCCCUCAAAUGCUGAAGAUUUGCAGCCGAAGCCUGAUACAGAGCUUUGCAAUCCCACACAUGCUAUGAAAUGCGUAAAAUAAGUGUGCCUCGCUAUCUCUCAACAGAAAUUCUGUCUAUCACACUUCCAUCCAGGGCUUUUU